This 67-nucleotide transfer RNA is filed under the name Marmota monax (woodchuck). RNAcentral's name for it is "tRNA.Ser". Lineage: Eukaryota; Metazoa; Chordata; Mammalia; Rodentia; Sciuridae. The record is from RNAcentral.
AGGUGAGCUCAGUGGUAGAGUGCUUGCCUACUACACACCAGGCCCUGGGUUCAAUCCUCAGCACCUG